Molecule: transfer RNA, 76 nt
Filed under: Peptostreptococcus russellii
Lineage: Bacteria; Bacillati; Bacillota; Clostridia; Peptostreptococcales; Peptostreptococcaceae
Description: tRNA-Met(cat)
Rfam family: tRNA
About the family: Transfer RNA (tRNA) molecules are approximately 80 nucleotides in length. Their secondary structure includes four short double-helical elements and three loops (D, anti-codon, and T loops).
Source: RNAcentral
CGCGGAGUGGAGCAGUUGGUAGCUCGUCGGGCUCAUAACCCGAAGGUCAGAGGUUCAAGUCCUUUCUCCGCAACCA